CCUCGGGUUUUCUCCUAUAUAUCGUGCUUACCGUCAUAAUUCAGAUCCGCCGCACAGAUAUCCGCGUAUAAUUUAUGUGUGUUCAACCAACACGGUAGCCUGCGAGACGUGUGUGCGUGGUGCGGGAUAUUUUACUCGCCGACGAGACCCCUCGCUCUUAUCACGAACCGAGAUUUUUCGUCGUAGUCGUCGUCGUCGUUCGAAAUUGGCUUCUAUAAACGCGCGCACAUAUUAUGCUCGUAAUAUUAUUAUAAAAAAAAAAAUAAU
Molecule: non-coding RNA, 267 nt
Organism: Cinara cedri
Lineage: Eukaryota; Metazoa; Arthropoda; Insecta; Hemiptera; Aphididae
Source: the annotation of a GenBank genome assembly